RNAcentral lists this ribosomal RNA (536 nucleotides) under uncultured Russula. Its description in RNAcentral is "eukaryotic LSU rRNA". The stretch from base 104 to 258 matches the Rfam family "5.8S ribosomal RNA". Lineage: Eukaryota; Fungi; Basidiomycota; Agaricomycetes; Russulales; Russulaceae. The record is from RNAcentral.
ACCGCGUGGGUCACCCUUCCGGCUCGUCCGGAGGGGGGGCUUGCGUUUUCACACAAACUCGAUACAGUGUAGAGUGUCUUUUGCGAUAACACGCAAUCAAUACAACUUUCAACAACGGAUCUCUUGGCUCUCGCAUCGAUGAAGAACGCAGCGAAAUGCGAUACGUAAUGUGAAUUGCAGAAUUCAGUGAAUCAUCGAGUCUUUGAACGCACCUUGCGCCCCUUGGCAUUCACGAGGGGCACACCCGUUUGAGUGUCGUGAAAUUCUCAAAAGCCUUUCUUUUGAAAGGGUUUUGGACUUGGAGGCUUUUUGCUGGCUUUCACCUCGAAGCGAGCUCCUCCCAAAGGAAUUAGUGGGGUCCGCUUUGCCGAUCCUUGACGUGAUAAGAUGCUUCUACGUCUCGGAUUUGGCGAUGCCUCUUGGGCACCUGCUUCUAACCGUCCUCAUGGACAAUGAUGGCGUCCCGGUCACCACCGUUUCAUCGGUCGGGAGGCNUGGCCCACCAAAAAAACCUUGACCUCAAAUCGGGUGAGACU